Long non-coding RNA from Pongo pygmaeus (Bornean orangutan), 4004 nucleotides. RefSeq lists it as uncharacterized. Lineage: Eukaryota; Metazoa; Chordata; Mammalia; Primates; Hominidae. The record is from RefSeq and is a predicted model, not a curated record. The transcript is spliced from 3 exons.
GGAGUCCCGGAUCCGCUGUCGCCACUCGGGGCCCUUCUGCAGAGGCGCCCUCCUUUCCGGCGUGGGAGUCUUCAGCCAACCUCCCACAAUCAAGUUCCCCCCUUCUCAGGAAUGGAAAUAGCCAUCCCCCAAUUUCCUAGAUUCCCGCCGUCUCCCCGUCCCUUCUUCCCCAGGGUGGAAGUCUUGAAACCACCGUCCCCUCCUCUCUUCAAACUGCCUCCCUCCUUACUGAGAAUGGAAAUCCACUACUUCCUCCCUCUCUCCCGGGUGGAUUCCCUCGGCCCUGCUAUCUGGUCUAUUACGGGCCUCUUGGGUUCCGAAGACCAAGCUCUGUAAACACUCCCAUUUCUAGGCCACCUUGUUCUGUUUAUGUCCCUUGUGCUUUCUCUUCAUUACUACUGAAAAUCCUUUGGAAAAAGUCCAAGUGUCUUGGCACAGCCAGGGGAGAGCUUGUCUGACAGUGACCCAGGGAAGGCUAUGGCGAGAAGGCCCGCCUGGGUGGGGCGGGGUGGGGAGGGGUGGGGCAGGGAGAGCCGGCUCGCUCCUUCUUGUCUGCCCGGGGCCCCCGGUCCCUUCCCAUCCCCCACCUUAGGCUGAUGGCUUUAGGGAUUUACAGGUAUAAUCUUCUUGCAGAGGUCACAAGAGCCUAAGAAGGACCUUUCGGGCAGUUGCUGUGGGGUGGUUGGCUAACUUCACGCCAGGGUCAGGGUCGGGGUGGAGGUGCUGAAGUUCCAGGAGGCUGGAGCGCGAGGAGGGGGAGGUAGGGUUUGCGCUACCCUAAUCCAAGGAUCCUGACAACUCCUGUGAACUAGAGCUAACCCUGUGGGUUAUAGAGGUUGCAACUGGCAGUGCACCUGUUGCAUCCAGCCCACAAUCACAGGGGAAAAAAUGCUUUUCAUCGAAUAAAUGGACAACACUUAAAAAUUGGGAGAUUUAAUAGAUCUAGCUUUUUAUCCUCUCUUGAAAACUAAGAAUGUCUGCCAGUGCUGGGCCUGUCUUCAGCAUGGCAGGCAUAGAGCGCAGGAGUGGCUGUCCUCUGCACCGGGAGCAGGGAAUAUGUUGUUCUAUAAGCCUCUGGCCCUAGCCGGCCAGCUUUUCUCUUACAUGACUUUCUUGGUCCUUAUAGCUUUUAAGUUUACCAUUUCUGUGCAAUACAGCCAUCUCUAUAACCACUGAAGUACCCAACUUGCUCAUAGAGCUACCCAAAUGCAUCAUUAAUCAAUAUUUACCAAGGGCCAGGUACUGAGCAAAAUGCUUUAUGUACUAGAUAGACACUGUUACUGUCUCUCGUGGAGUUUACAGACUGGUGUGCAAGGACUGACUCCCCCAAAAAGCCAGUAUUCCUGAACCACAUCUUGAUAGUGAGGCUCGUGGCACACUCAAGACCUCAAGCAGUAGUGGAUUGGAACUCCAGAAUCAACUUGUUGAAACUGUGUGAAGCCUUAUUUCAUUGUUUAGGGGUAGGGGUCAGAGGUGAGCUUCCCCCUCUGGAGAAUGUGUGAGAGUUUUUGGGGUCUCCCACAGAAACUGCAGGACCAGAGGCUACUGCUCCUGACCCAUAUGUCAUAAGACAAGUCCUAAGGAUGUCCCUUCUCCAAAGGACUCAGAACCAGCAGUCACAGAGUCCUCCUGAGGCUGACAUUUAGGCACUGGCUGCCAGCACUCACUGCAGCCUGCCUUGGUGAGGCCACUGUAGCUACAAAAGCCAGUAAACCUGCUACUGGCUCUUAUAGCCCCCACUUCCAAAUCCUGAUACCCUCUAGAAGUACAAACAAGAAGCCCAAGGCCAGGUGUCUUGAACCAAGGCUGAAAGCUGUAGAGAAGCUACACCCCAGACAUCCUUAGGAGAACUCUGGGCUAAGCAGGUGGAGAAGCCCAACGAAGCUGUACAGGUAGGACCUUUUGACCCUUAUCAAUGCCAGGAGCGGUGCGUCGGCAAUCUGUAGGAGGAGGACGUUUGGCAAUAUGAAAACAUGGCCACAAAAUCUUUCCAUUCCUCUCGUUGAGAAACAAGAUCUAUGUUACCUCCCCUUUAAUCUGGAUGCUAUGUAACUUCUGAGGUUAAGUAAUGAAAGGCCCUUCAACAUCCCCUGUUCACUGGACCCCUGAGCUGACAUGUUAGAAGUCUGACUACUGUGAUGCUGCCAUGCUGUGAGAAAGCCCAAGCUACAAGUAAAGGUCAUAUGUGGGUGCUUCAAUUGACAGUCCCAGCUGAGCCCAGCCUUCAAGUCCCCACAGCCAGGCACCAGACAUAGGACUGAAGAAGCCUUCAGAUGAUUACAGCCCCUAGCCCUUUAAGUCAUCCCCAACUGCUUGAGCCUUCCAGCUGAGCCCUAGACAUCACAAAGGAGAGACAAGUCAUCCUUGCUCUGCCCUGACCUGACCCAGAGAAUCUGUGAACACUAUGAAACGGUUGUUGUUUUACACUGUAGAUAUAACCAGGCAGGCAGAAUUCAUCUCUGAGGAACUGGUUCUUUUUCCUUGAAAGCUGAUUCAUGGCCCUUUGGUUAUGACAGGAAGGGUCCCAGUUCAUCUGCAGAGAAGAGCUGCAACAAGGAAACUGGAUUGCUCUGCACGGAGGAGCAAUAGGAAUUCAGGAGUUGUCUUCUUGUAGCUAAAUGAUGAGUGGUAGGGGUAAGAUUGGAACUGGGAGAAGAGAGGAUACAGGAGAAAAGCUUGCGUAAGAAGAAGGUGAAAUGGUAGAAAGCUGGACUCUAAGAAGGAAAGUAACUGGUGAGAAAUUCCGACGGAUGGCCAAGGGACUCGAGGAAUGGAGAUGUCUAAUGUUCUAUUUUAAGUUGGUUCCUGCUCCUUGGUGCUGCUCUAUUACCUCCAAACUUUCAGAAAAAGUCUGACAGAAGAGACAGAAACUAUAAACUAUAAUUUGGUUUCGAUUCAGGUCACUAAAUGCCAUUUCUGGCAUCCCUGAACUUGUGAACGAUCAAUGAUCAUAUGAUCCUGUGAGUUACUAUCAUCUCUAACCUGUGUACAACCGCCACAGCAUGAAUUAGUGAAAGGAUACAUAGUAAAGCCAGCAAAGAAGAAAGGCUUUGGGGCAAAGCCAGGAGAAACCACAAGCUUCCAAGUGAACCCUUCCGGUGGAGUUGCAUGAGGACUCACUUCAUUCUCCCAGCAACAGUGUGUGACAACACAUGGUGGUGUUGCCAAUUGGAGAAGCUCACCCAAGCCUUGGUGUCCGAAGCUCUUAAUGAGGUGUCAGUCAUGGAGACAUGCAAAGCCUGUGUAAAUGGCCUCAGCUGCCCCAAUAACUCCCUCUCCCCCUACCCCCAGAGCAAAACUAAGAGUUCGUCAUAAGUCAUUUUAUUAGGAUAAACUUAUCGGGUCAAACUGAUAUAGCCUCUCCCAAGGCCCCAGGCAUACAAAAACAUUCAUCAGUCAGAAUAUUCCAAGGGCCCCCAAAACUCAAGCACCUGCACCUCUUCUCCAAGGACUGCCUUCACACAGCUGGAACCACUUUGCUCACCUUUAAAAAGAGCCAUAGGUACCUAGGAUCUGCCUCCACGCUGGGAUGGCCCUUGCCUAAGCCUGACAGGUGCAGGAGCGAAAGAGUGAGGCAUCCUUGCCUUGCAUGUAGAAAACGUUGAGGUGUAGCUUGUACUCCAGAGUUUCCCUGUAGGAUAGUGUUGACUCUAACCUCUAUGAGACUUUGCCUGAAAUCACUCUCUUGCUUGACUUCCUUUUUUUUCUUGUCCUCCUACAUCCGCUCCUUUACUUGUCUCCCUAGCAGCAUUUCAGUGAUGUGCUGACACUGGCUAGUUCCAAAAGCUGAUUGUUAGCAACUCUUCCCAACUCCAUAUUCAGAGAUAUCCUGUUGAUAGCUUUAAACUGGUCACGGUGGAAGUACUCACUAUAGAGUAUUUGUGGAAAUUGUUGAAUGCUUGCUUUAUUUAUCAAGCUUAUUUAUUUUCUUUCCAUAAAGCCAGUUGUUACUCAUUUACUAUCACACCACUGGGCACUUCCUUAAUAAAUCACUUGAAUAUGAA